GACGAACGCUGGCGGCGUGCUUAACACAUGCAAGUCGAACGGAGUGGCGAACGGGUGAGUAACACGUGGGUGACCUGCCCUGCACUUCGGGAUAAGCCUGGGCAACUGGGUCUAAUACCGGAUAGUGUGGGAUGGGCCCGCGGCCUAUCAGCUUGUUGGUGGGGUAAUGGCCUACAAAGGCGGCGACGGGUAGCCGGCCUGAGAGGGUGGAAGGCCACAGUGGGACUGGGACACGGCCCAGGGUGAUAAGGGAGGAAGGAGUGGGGAAUAUUGCACAAUGGGCGGAGGCUUGAUGCAGGGCCGCCGCGUGGGGGAGGACGGUCAUCGGGGUGUAAACUGCUUUCGCUAACGACGCGGUAGAUGGGGAAGAAGCACCGGUUAAUCCCGUGCCAGCGGCCGCGUAAUUC
RNAcentral lists this ribosomal RNA (407 nucleotides) under uncultured bacterium. RNAcentral describes it as "partial 16S ribosomal RNA". It matches the Rfam family "Bacterial small subunit ribosomal RNA", at positions 28 to 526 of the family's 1533-position model. The record is from RNAcentral.